Molecule: transfer RNA, 82 nt
Filed under: Candidatus Latescibacterota bacterium
Lineage: Bacteria; Pseudomonadati; Candidatus Latescibacterota
Description: tRNA-Leu
Rfam family: tRNA
About the family: Transfer RNA (tRNA) molecules are approximately 80 nucleotides in length. Their secondary structure includes four short double-helical elements and three loops (D, anti-codon, and T loops).
Source: RNAcentral
CCGGGGUGGCGAAAUGGGUAGACGCUGGGGACUUAAAAUCCCCUGGGCCAUGUGCCCGUGCGGGUUCGAUUCCCGCCCCCGG